GACGAACGCUGGCGGCGUGCCUAAUACAUGCAAGUUGAGCGCUGAAGGUUGGUACUUGUACCAACUGGAUGAGCAGCGAACGGGUGAGUAACGCGUGGGGAAUCUGCCUUUGAGCGGGGGACAACAUUUGGAAACGAAUGCUAAUACCGCAUAAAAACUUUAAACACAAGUUUUAAGUUUGAAAUAUGCAAUUGCAUCACUCAAAGAUGAUCCCGCGUUGUAUUAGCUAGUUGGUGAGGUAAAGGCUCACCAAGGCGAUGAUACAUAGCCGACCUGAGCGGGUGAUCGGCCACAUUGGGACUGAGACACGGCCCAAACUCCUACGGGAGGCAGCAGUAGGGAAUCUUCGGCAAUGGACGAAAGUCUGACCGAGCAACGCCGCGUGAGUGAAGAAGGUUUUCGGAUCGUAAAACUCUGUUGGUAGAGAAGAACGUUGGUGAGAGUGGAAAGCUCAUCAAGUGACGGUAACUACCCAGAAAGGGACGGCUAACUACGUG
RNAcentral lists this ribosomal RNA (497 nucleotides) under uncultured bacterium. RNAcentral's name for it is "partial 16S ribosomal RNA". It matches the Rfam family "Bacterial small subunit ribosomal RNA", at positions 28 to 507 of the family's 1533-position model. The record is from RNAcentral.